This 1266-nucleotide long non-coding RNA is filed under the name Daucus carota (carrot). Its description in RNAcentral is "long non-coding RNA (DCAR_LNC007060)". Lineage: Eukaryota; Viridiplantae; Streptophyta; Magnoliopsida; Apiales; Apiaceae. The record is from RNAcentral.
UUAUUUUUUAUUUUUUUUUUUUUUUGUCAUAAGACGGUUGUAUUAUACCAAGAUUGAAAAUUACAAAAUCCGGAUGGACAGAGUUUCCUUCAUUCAAGAAGGUAUAUCAUCUAACCGAAAGUAUGUAAAUACUCCGGAAGCUUAGACAACAUAGCCUUUCAAGUCAGAAGAGAUAACCCACAAAAAAAGGGCCUCGUUAAAACCCCUCAAGAGUAAAACCCGGUGGGAAAAAACUCAAGGGGGAAAAAGAGUGCCCUACAAAAAUUACAUCGAUUACAAUUACAAGACAGACUGAAAUGAUGUCUUCUUUAUUCCUUUAUAUCCAUAUUUGUAGCUCAAUUGUCUAGGACACCAAAUUCCCGUCUCUUUCAAACAUCCUGAAAAUAAGACAAAACCGAAUGAAAGUGAUAUAAGCAAAUUUGAAAUUUAUUAAAAUAAAGACAUAAAUGAGCCAAACAUUAUGGCACUUAAAUGCCUUUAUAGGCCAAAAUGCCCCAAUCAUGGUCGCCAUAAAUGGUACAAAAAACCUUAAUUAAGAAUAAUGAAUAUCCUUAAUUAAGGUCCAAUUAUCGCCCAAUUUGCGCCCUUCUUUUCCGCCCCUUCCUCUUCUGGAUCUCUCAACCACCAUGGAUGUUAUGAUCUUUGUUAGGCAAGAAGCUCCUGCAUCCAUGGCAAUUAGCAGUACAAGAACAACCCACACACAUAAAAGAUGAAUAUUAAUAUAAAAAGAAUAGUACACGUAGUACGAGAAUUAGAAACAACAGCGGAAAUAAAAAACAGAGCAUCAAUUAGAUACAAGGAUACAGGGUUCUGGUCCUUCUGGAGUGCUUGUCUUUACGCCACUGGCGCAACGCAGCACCUUCCUCCACCAUAUCUCCAGAAGGCGGGAGCACAUGACAAAUACGGCCAAACCCACUAAGCCAAACACACACAAGAACUCACGCACACACUCACACCUCCUAUACACUCACCCACACCCCUCCUGGCCCCUGUACACCACAUACCAGCACACACAAUACACACACACUGGUAUAUACACACAAAGACACGCUAUAUAUACACACACGGAAACACACGCAACAGUGGGGCUGGGAAAGGGAGAAAGAAUCAGGGAGAAAGGAGGGAGAGAACCGGAGGGAGACGGCGGGGACUGGCGGAGCGACCCGCGGAGGUGGCCGGAAACGGCGAGGAAGAGAGAGAUUCGUGAGGGAGAGGGCGGCGAGAGAGAGUGGCUCAGGAGAGAGAGAGACGCAGGGAGAGAGAUGU